Molecule: ribosomal RNA, 792 nt
Filed under: Palythoa caribaeorum
Lineage: Eukaryota; Metazoa; Cnidaria; Anthozoa; Zoantharia; Sphenopidae
Description: partial 12S ribosomal RNA
Rfam family: Bacterial small subunit ribosomal RNA
Source: RNAcentral
UUUAGNNNCCCCNGCNGACGCGGUUAGACUUAGGGGCCCGGGGCCUUUAUGGGCAACGGUUCGUACAGGGUGUGUAGGCCGACCGCCCCACCCCCCCUAGGUGGUAAAUGGAAUUUUUCUGUAGCGGUAGAAUGUGCGGAUAGAAAAUAGAACCCCAAAAGCUGAAGCAAUUUACCGCGNGGCGGGAGGGGGGGGCGCUUNGUGGGUGCCCCCUCGGAGACUCCGUGCUGAAACGCNGCUGGGUUUGGGGAGCAAUCUGGGUUUCUCUUGACCGCCUGGUAGUCNCNGCACUGUAAACGAUGUAGAAAAUGCGAAUGCAGCCCCGAAAGGUAGCANNNAUCUCCCGCCUGAGUAGUACGAUCGCUAAGAUUUAAAUUCCAAAAAUUUGGCUGUUCACCGUUUUGAUUAGUGGAGCGUGUAGUUUAAUUCGAUAAACCGCGAGAUACCUUACCCUUUCUUGAAUCCUUGAGGAUUUCCAAGGAAUCUUUAUGGACCGGUACUUGCAUGGCCGUCGUCAGUUCGUGUUUGUUUCCCACCUUAAACGGACCCAACCCGAGGAUUAGCCGGGGNAUGAAGUCAGGUCCUCUGGUCCCAAUGUUUGGGGAUAAUAUGCGCUACUUUUUNUUAUACUUUUGGAUAACCUGGGAGGUGAAACCCAAAAGUGAGAGUUCGGUAGGCUAUUGGAAGNGUGGCCGAAAGUUGUAUUAAUAGNANUCGAAACUUUAUCGCUGCAUGUUNUUNCGUUCCGGUGAAAUCCUCUNGGUGUCCNCCACANGCCGCCAANUAAAAAAA